Molecule: ribosomal RNA, 466 nt
Filed under: uncultured bacterium
Lineage: Bacteria
Description: partial 16S ribosomal RNA
Rfam family: Bacterial small subunit ribosomal RNA
Source: RNAcentral
GAUGAACGCUGGCGGCGUGCUUAACACAUGCAAGUCGAACGGAAAGGCCCAAGCUUUCUUGGGUACUCGAGUGGCGAACGGGUGAGUAACACGUGGGUGAUCUGCCCUGCACUUCGGGAUAAGCCUUGGAAACUGGGUCUCAUACCGGAUAGGACCACAUUUUGGAUGGUGUUGUGGAAAGUUUUUCGGUGUGGGUUGAGCUCGCGGCCUAUCAGCUUGUUGGUGGGGUAAUGGCCUACCAAGGCGUCGACGGGUAGCCGGCCUGAGAGGGUGUACGGCCACAUUGGGACUGAGAGACGGCCCAGACUCCUACGGGAGGCAGCAGUGGGGAAUAUUGCACAAUGGGCGCAAGCCUGAUGCAGCGACGCCGCGUGGGGGAUGACGGCCUUCGGGUUGUAAACUCCUUUCGCUAGGGACGAAGCGUUAUGUGACGGUACCUGGAGAAGAAGCACCGGCUAACUACGUG